AAGAAAGCAGGGGCCUGUAAUCUAUUGUGAAUGAGUCUUGUAAAAUUCAGGGUAUUAUAUUGCAUUAUUAUUGUGUGAGCCUCUUCAAGUGUAUAGUGACAAAGGUUCAGUAAAUAGUGCCGCAUUU
Molecule: small nucleolar RNA, 127 nt
Organism: Cornus florida
Lineage: Eukaryota; Viridiplantae; Streptophyta; Magnoliopsida; Cornales; Cornaceae
Product: small nucleolar RNA snoR74
Exons: 1
Source: RefSeq, a predicted model, not a curated record